AUACGGAGGGUGCAAGCGUUAUUCGGAAUCACAGGGCGUAAAGGACGCGUAGGCGGGUUGGCAAGUCGGAUGUGAAAUCCUACAGCUUAACUGUAGAACUGCAUUUGAAACUGCUAACCUAGAGUAUGGGAGGGGGAGAUGGAAUUAGUGGUGUAGGGGUAAAAUCCGUAGAUAUCACUAGGAAUACCGAAAGCGAAGGCGAUCUCCUGGAACAUAACUGACGCUAAGGCGUGAAAGCGUGGGGAGCAAACAGGAUUAGAAACCCUAGUAGUCC
Molecule: ribosomal RNA, 274 nt
Filed under: uncultured bacterium
Lineage: Bacteria
Description: partial 16S ribosomal RNA
Rfam family: Bacterial small subunit ribosomal RNA
Source: RNAcentral